Molecule: ribosomal RNA, 217 nt
Filed under: uncultured bacterium
Lineage: Bacteria
Description: partial 16S ribosomal RNA
Rfam family: Bacterial small subunit ribosomal RNA
Source: RNAcentral
CGUCUCAGUUCNGAUUGCAGGCUGCAACUCGCCUGCAUGAAGUCGGAAUUGCUAGUAAUCGCAGAUCAGCAUGCUGCGGUGAAUACGUUCCCGGGCCUUGUACACACCGCCCGUCACACCAUGGGAGUCGGUAACACCCGAAGUCGGUAGCCUAACCGUAAGGAGGGCGCCGCCGAAGGUGGGAUUGAUGACUGGGGUGAAGUCGUAACAAGGUAUC